GGUUAUGCCCGUAGCUCCUCUCUACACUUUGUGAUCUAUCUAUACCUCGUUGCUUCGCGCGGCGCCCGCGAGGGUGCCCGCCGGUCUCAUCAGAAUCUCUGUUUUCGAACCCGACGAUACUUCUGAGUGUUCUUAGCGAACUGUCAAAACUUUUAACAACGGAUCUCUUGGCUCCAGCAUCGAUGAAGAACGCAGCGAAACGCGAUAUGUAAUGUGAAUUGCAGAAUUCAGUGAAUCAUCGAAUCUUUGAACGCACAUGGCGCCUUCCAGUAUCCUGGGAGGCAUGCCUGUCCGAGCGUCGUUUCAACCCUCGAGCCCCCGUGGCCCGGCGUUGGGGAUCUGCCACGGCAGGCCCCUAAAACCAGUGGCGGACCCGAAAGGCCCUCUCCUUUGCGCAGUAGCAUUCGCCUCGCAUCGGGAGCCCUCGGCGUCCUGCCUCUAAACCCCCCACAAGCCCGCUCCGGCGGCACCAAGGUUGACCUCGGAUCAGGUAGGAAUACCCGCUGAACUUAAGCAUAUCAAUAAGCGGAGGAA
Molecule: ribosomal RNA, 534 nt
Filed under: Plectosphaerella cucumerina
Lineage: Eukaryota; Fungi; Ascomycota; Sordariomycetes; Glomerellales; Plectosphaerellaceae
Description: eukaryotic LSU rRNA
Rfam family: 5.8S ribosomal RNA (bases 148-301)
Source: RNAcentral